RNAcentral lists this ribosomal RNA (497 nucleotides) under uncultured bacterium. RNAcentral's name for it is "bacterial SSU rRNA". It matches the Rfam family "Bacterial small subunit ribosomal RNA", at positions 8 to 507 of the family's 1533-position model. The record is from RNAcentral.
AGAGUUUGAUCAUGGCUCAGGAUGAACGCUAGCGGGAGGCCUAACACAUGCAAGCCGAGCGGUAUAGAAUCUUCGGAUUUUAGAGAGCGGCGUACGGGUGCGGAACACGUGUGCAACCUACCUUUAUCUGGAGGAUAGCCUUUCGAAAGGAAGAUUAAUACUCCAUAAUAUAUUGAUUGGCAUCAAUUAAUAUUGAAAGCUCCGGCGGAUAGAGAUGGGCACGCGCAAGAUUAGUUAGUUGGUGAGGUAACGGCUCACCAAGACGAUGAUCUUUAGGGGGCCUGAGAGGGUGAUCCCCACACUGGUACUGAGACACGGACCAGACUCCUACGGGAGGCAGCAGUGAGGAAUAUUGGACAAUGGGUGCAAGCCUGAUCCAGCCAUCCCGCGUGAAGGACGACUGCCUAUGGGUUGUAAACUUCUUUUGUAUAGGGAUAAACCUCUCCUCGUGAGGAGAGCUGAAGGUACUAUACGAAUAAGCACCGGCUAACUCCGUG